AGUGGCGGACGGGUGAGUAACGCGUGAGAAUCUGCCUUCAGGUCGGGGACAACAGAGGGAAACUUCUGCUAAUCCCGGAUGAGCCUUAGGGUAAAAAAUUUAUUGCCUGGAGAUGAGCUCGCGUCUGAUUAGCUAGUUGGUAAGGUAAAAGCUUACCAAGGCAACGAUCAGUAGCUGGUCUGAGAGGAAGAGCAGCCACACUGGGACUGAGACACGGCCCAGACUCCUACGGGAGGCAGCAGUGGGGAAUUUUCCGCAAUGGGCGAAAGCCUGACGGAGCAAGACCGCGUGGGGGAGGAAGGCUCUAGGGUUGUAAACCCCUUUUCUUUGGGAAGAACAAAAUGACGGUACCAAAGGAAUCAGCCUCGGCUAACUCCGUGCCAGCAGCCGCGGUAAUACGGAGGAGGCAAGCGUUAUCCGGAAUGAUUGGGCGUAAAGCGUCCGCAGGUGGCAAUGUAAGUCUGCUGUCAAAACCCAGGGCUCAACUCUGGUCAGGCAGUGGAAACUACAUAGCUAGAGUUCGGUAGGGGCAAAGGGAAUUCCCGGUGUAGCGGUGAAAUGCGUAGAGAUCGGGAAGAACAUCGGUGGCGAAAGCGCUUUGCUAGACCGAAACUGACACUCAGGGACGAAAGCUAGGGGAGCGAAUGGGAUUAGAUACCCC
This 661-nucleotide ribosomal RNA is filed under the name uncultured bacterium. RNAcentral's name for it is "bacterial SSU rRNA". It matches the Rfam family "Bacterial small subunit ribosomal RNA", at positions 94 to 788 of the family's 1533-position model. The record is from RNAcentral.